CAGUCGUACCGGCGGGUAAUCAGCCUUUUGGGUGCGAUUCUGUGGAGUGUGAUGAGCUUAACACCUUCAUGCUUUACAUAUUCGUGCACUUUGGGUGUACUUGCUCGUGUGGUAGGUUAACAUCAAUUUUGAUCGUCAUAAAAUGAUUGGAGGAAUGUAGCUUCGAUCUCGUAUUGAAGUGUUAUAGCCUUCGGUAAAUGUGAUGAACGAGAUUGAGGAUUGCAACGGAUACCCUUCGGGGCUACCUGUCUGGUCUCUGAUCGUUGCUCUGGUGCCGAAAGCUUGCUUACGGUCAUCAAAGUCGAUGGUCAAUAGGUUAGAACGGGUUAAA
RNAcentral lists this ribosomal RNA (331 nucleotides) under Rhizophagus irregularis. RNAcentral describes it as "partial large subunit ribosomal RNA". Lineage: Eukaryota; Fungi; Glomeromycota; Glomeromycetes; Glomerales; Glomeraceae. The record is from RNAcentral.